AUUGAACGCUGGCGGCAGGCCUAACACAUGCAAGUCGAGCGGUAGAGAGGUGCUUGCAUCUCUUGAGAGCGGCGGACGGGUGAGUAAUGCCUAGGAAUCUGCCUAGUGGUGGGGGAUAACGUUCGGAAACGGACGCUAAUACCGCAUACGUCCUACGGGAGAAAGCGGGGGAUCUUCGGACCUCGCGCCAUUAGAUGAGCCUAGGUCGGAUUAGCUAGUUGGUGAGGUAAUGGCUCACCAAGGCGACGAUCCGUAACUGGUCUGAGAGGAUGAUCAGUCACACUGGAACUGAGACACGGUCCAGACUCCUACGGGAGGCAGCAGUGGGGAAUAUUGGACAAUGGGCGAAAGACCUGAUCCACGCCAUGCCGCGUGUGUGAAGAAGGUACUUCGGAGUU
This 398-nucleotide ribosomal RNA is filed under the name uncultured bacterium. Its description in RNAcentral is "bacterial SSU rRNA". It matches the Rfam family "Bacterial small subunit ribosomal RNA", at positions 30 to 424 of the family's 1533-position model. The record is from RNAcentral.